GUUAAAAAGCUCGUAGUUGGAUCUCGGCGGGCAGGGGGUGGUUCGCUCUUCAGCGCUACUGCCCCGCUUUGCCCGUGUGAUUGGCGGAGGUUUCGGGGUGCUCUUCGUUGAGUGACUCGGAGCGCCGUCAGGUUUACUUUGAAAAAAUUAGAGUGCUCAAAGCAGGCUUUUCACGCUUGAAUAUUCGUGCAUGGAAUAAUGGAAUAGGAACUCGUUUCUAUUUUGUUGGUUUUCGGAAAUCGAGUUAAUGAUUAACAGGGACAAUUGGGGGCAUUAGUAUUCAGACGACAGAGGUGAAAUUCUUGGACCGUCUGAAGACUGACUACUGCGAAAGCAUUUGCCAAGAGUGUUUUCAUUAAUCAAGAACGAAAGUUAGAGGUUCGAAGGCGAUCAGAUACCGCCCUAGUUCUAACCAUAAACGAUGCCAGCUAGCGAUCUGCCGAGUUUUUUUUGCAGGCUCCGCAGGAAGCUUUCGGGAAACCAAAGCUUUUGGGUUCCGGGGGAAGUAUGGUUGCAAAGCUGAAACUUAAAGGAAUUGACGGAAGGGCACCACCAGGAGUGGAGCCUGCGGCUUAAUUUGACUCAACACGGGAAAUCUCACCAGGCCCGGACACUGGAAGGAUUGACAGAUUGAGAGCUCUUUCUCGAUUCGGUGGGUGGUGGUGCAUGGCCGUUCUUAGUUGGUGGAGUGAUUUGUCUGGUUAAUUCCGAUAACGAACGAGACUCUGUCCUGCUAAAUAGUUGGGUCGUCCUUCGUGCGAUCCAAGUUCUUCUUAGAGGGACUGGCUGCGUCUAGCAGCACGAGAUUGAGCAAUAACAGGUCUGUGAUGCCCUUAGAUG
This 840-nucleotide ribosomal RNA is filed under the name uncultured eukaryote. RNAcentral's name for it is "SSU rRNA". It matches the Rfam family "Eukaryotic small subunit ribosomal RNA", at positions 618 to 1479 of the family's 1831-position model. The record is from RNAcentral.